UACGUAGGUGGCAAGCGUUGUUCGGAAUUACUGGGCGUAAAGCGCGCGUAGACGGUUUUGUAAGUCAGAUGUGAAAUCCCCGGGCUCAACCUGGGAACUGCAUUUGAAACUGCAUGGCUAGAGUACGGUAGAGGGAAGUGGAAUUUCCGGUGUAGCGGUGAAAUGCGUAGAUAUCGGAAGGAACACCAGUGGCGAAAGCGACUUCCUGGACCAGUACUGACGUUCAUGUGCGAAAGCGUGGGGAGCAAACAGG
This 253-nucleotide ribosomal RNA is filed under the name uncultured bacterium. RNAcentral's name for it is "partial 16S ribosomal RNA". It matches the Rfam family "Bacterial small subunit ribosomal RNA", at positions 524 to 776 of the family's 1533-position model. The record is from RNAcentral.